This 442-nucleotide ribosomal RNA is filed under the name uncultured bacterium. RNAcentral describes it as "partial 16S ribosomal RNA". It matches the Rfam family "Bacterial small subunit ribosomal RNA", at positions 29 to 507 of the family's 1533-position model. The record is from RNAcentral.
AUGAACGCUGGCGGCAUGCCUAACCCAUGCAAGUCGAUCGGUAAGGCUCUUCGGAGUACCCGAGAGGCGGACGGCUGAGUAACGCGUAGGAACACACCUUGCAGUGAGGGAUAAGACACCGAAAGGUGUUCUAAUACCGCAUACGGUCUUCGGAUUAAAGCAUUUAUGCGCUGAAGGAGUGGCCUGCGUCAUAUUAGAUAGUUGGUGAGGUAAUGGCUCACCAAGUCGAUGAUGUGUAGCUGGUCUGAGAGGAUGAUCAGCCAGACUGGAACUGAGACACGGUCCAGACUCCUACGGGAGGCAGCAGUGAGGAAUAUUUCACAAUGAGCGAAAGCUUGAUGGAGCAAUGCCGCGUGCAGGAUGAAGGCCCUCGGGUUGUAAACUGCUUUUAUAAGAGAAGAUUAUGACGGUAACUUAUGUAUAAGGGACGGCUAACUACGUG